RNAcentral lists this ribosomal RNA (2259 nucleotides) under Salmonella enterica. RNAcentral's name for it is "bacterial LSU rRNA". It matches the Rfam family "Bacterial large subunit ribosomal RNA", at positions 657 to 2812 of the family's 2925-position model. RNAcentral also lists the same sequence under 1 other name. Lineage: Bacteria; Pseudomonadati; Pseudomonadota; Gammaproteobacteria; Enterobacterales; Enterobacteriaceae. The record is from RNAcentral.
AUAGGGGAGCCGGAGGGAAACCGAGUCUUAAUUGGGCGUUAAGUUGCAGGGUAUAGACCCGAAACCCGGUGAUCUAGCCAUGGGCAGGUUGAAGGUUGGGUAACACUAACUGGAGGACCGAACCGACUAAUGUUGAAAAAUUAGCGGAUGACCUGUGGCUGGGGGUGAAAGGCCAAUCAAACCGGGAGAUAGCUGGUUCUCCCCGAAAGCUAUUUAGGUAGCGCCUCGUGAAUUCAUCUCCGGGGGUAGAGCACUGUUUCGGCUAGGGGGCCAUCCCGGCUUACCAACCCGAUGCAAACUGCGAAUACCGGAGAAUGUUAUCACGGGAGACACACGGCGGGUGCUAACGUCCGUCGUGAAGAGGGAAACAACCCAGACCGCCAGCUAAGGUCCCAAAGUCAUGGUUAAGUGGGAAACGAUGUGGGAAGGCCCAGACAGCCAGGAUGUUGGCUUAGAAGCAGCCAUCAUUUAAAGAAAGCGUAAUAGCUCACUGGUCGAGUCGGCCUGCGCGGAAGAUGUAACGGGGCUAAACCAUGCACCGAAGCUGCGGCAGCGAACGUAUCACCCAAGACAACUUUACGGAGUUGACGAUUGACGGAGCGAAGCGACGUCAAAGCGUUCAUUAAAGUCGAGUUGGCUUAGGGAUACGUUCGUUGGGUAGGGGAGCGUUCUGUAAGCCUGUGAAGGUGUGUCGUGAGGCAUGCUGGAGGUAUCAGAAGUGCGAAUGCUGACAUAAGUAACGAUAAAGCGGGUGAAAAGCCCGCUCGCCGGAAGACCAAGGGUUCCUGUCCAACGUUAAUCGGGGCAGGGUGAGUCGACCCCUAAGGCGAGGCCGAAAGGCGUAGUCGAUGGGAAACGGGUUAAUAUUCCCGUACUUGGUGUUACUGCGAAGGGGGGACGGAGAAGGCUAUGUUGGCCGGGCGACGGUUGUCCCGGUUUAAGCGUGUAGGUGUGUGUUCCAGGUAAAUCCGGUUCACUUUAACACUGAGGCGUGACGACGAGGCACUACGGUGCUGAAGCAACAAAUGCCCUGCUUCCAGGAAAAGCCUCUAAGCAUCAGGUAACAUCAAAUCGUACCCCAAACCGACACAGGUGGUCAGGUAGAGAAUACCAAGGCGCUUGAGAGAACUCGGGUGAAGGAACUAGGCAAAAUGGUGCCGUAACUUCGGGAGAAGGCACGCUGACACGUAGGUGAAGUGAUUUACUCAUGGAGCUGAAGUCAGUCGAAGAUACCAGCUGGCUGCAACUGUUUAUUAAAAACACAGCACUGUGCAAACACGAAAGUGGACGUAUACGGUGUGACGCCUGCCCGGUGCCGGAAGGUUAAUUGAUGGGGUCAGCGUAAGCGAAGCUCCUGAUCGAAGCCCCGGUAAACGGCGGCCGUAACUAUAACGGUCCUAAGGUAGCGAAAUUCCUUGUCGGGUAAGUUCCGACCUGCACGAAUGGCGUAAUGAUGGCCAGGCUGUCUCCACCCGAGACUCAGUGAAAUUGAACUCGCUGUGAAGAUGCAGUGUACCCGCGGCAAGACGGAAAGACCCCGUGAACCUUUACUAUAGCUUGACACUGAACAUUGAGCCUUGAUGUGUAGGAUAGGUGGGAGGCUUUGAAGUGUGGACGCCAGUCUGCAUGGAGCCGACCUUGAAAUACCACCCUUUAAUGUUUGAUGUUCUAACGUGGACCCGUAAUCCGGGUUGCGGACAGUGUCUGGUGGGUAGUUUGACUGGGGCGGUCUCCUCCUAAAGAGUAACGGAGGAGCACGAAGGUUGGCUAAUCCUGGUCGGACAUCAGGAGGUUAGUGCAAUGGCAUAAGCCAGCUUGACUGCGAGCGUGACGGCGCGAGCAGGUGCGAAAGCAGGUCAUAGUGAUCCGGUGGUUCUGAAUGGAAGGGCCAUCGCUCAACGGAUAAAAGGUACUCCGGGGAUAACAGGCUGAUACCGCCCAAGAGUUCAUAUCGACGGCGGUGUUUGGCACCUCGAUGUCGGCUCAUCACAUCCUGGGGCUGAAGUAGGUCCCAAGGGUAUGGCUGUUCGCCAUUUAAAGUGGUACGCGAGCUGGGUUUAGAACGUCGUGAGACAGUUCGGUCCCUAUCUGCCGUGGGCGCUGGAGAACUGAGGGGGGCUGCUCCUAGUACGAGAGGACCGGAGUGGACGCAUCACUGGUGUUCGGGUUGUCAUGCCAAUGGCACUGCCCGGUAGCUAAAUGCGGAAGAGAUAAGUGCUGAAAGCAUCUAAGCACGAAACUUGCCCCGAGAUGAGUUCU